Molecule: ribosomal RNA, 429 nt
Filed under: bacterium
Lineage: Bacteria
Description: partial 16S ribosomal RNA
Rfam family: Bacterial small subunit ribosomal RNA
Source: RNAcentral
UAGGGAAUCUUCCACAAUGGACGCAAGUCUGAUGGAGCAACGCCGCGUGAGUGAAGAAGGUUUUCGGAUCGUAAAGCUCUGUUGUUGGUGAAGAAGGAUAGAGGCAGUAACUGGUCUUUAUUUGACGGUAAUCAACCAGAAAGUCACGGCUAACUACGUGCCAGCAGCCGCGGUAAUACGUAGGUGGCAAGCGUUGUCCGGAUUUAUUGGGCGUAAAGCGAGCGCAGGCGGAAUGAUAAGUCUGCUGUGAAAGCCCACGGCUCAACCGUGGAACUGCCUCGGAAAGUGUCUUUCUUGAGUGCAGAAGAGGAGAGGGGGAUUCCCUGUGUAGCGGUUGAAUCCGUAGAUGUAUGGAAGAACACCAGUGGCGAAGGCGGCUCUCUGGUCUGCAACUGACGCUGAGGAUCGAAAGCAUGGGUAGCGAACAGG